CAGUGGGGAAUAUUGGACAAUGGGCGCAAGCCUGAUCCAGCCAUGCCGCGUGAGUGCUGAAGGCCUUAGGGUUGUAAAGCUCUUUCACCGAUGAAGAUAAUGACGGUAGUCGGAGAAGAAGCCCCGGCUAACUUCGUGCCAGCAGCCGCGGUAAUACGAAGGGGGCUAGCGUUGUUCGGAUUUACUGGGCGUAAAGCGCACGUAGGCGGUUUGUUAAGUCAGGGGUGAAAUCCCAGAGCUCAACUCUGGAACAGCAUUGGAGACUGGCAAGCUAGAGUCCGGAAAAGCUAAGUGGAACUCCGAUUGUAGAGGUGGAAUUCGUAGAUAUUAGGAAGACCACCAGUGGCGAAGGCGGCUUACUGGUCCGGAACUGACGCUGAGGUGCGAAAGCGUGGGGAGCAAACAGGAUUAGA
RNAcentral lists this ribosomal RNA (413 nucleotides) under uncultured bacterium. RNAcentral's name for it is "bacterial SSU rRNA". It matches the Rfam family "Bacterial small subunit ribosomal RNA", at positions 352 to 782 of the family's 1533-position model. The record is from RNAcentral.